Ribosomal RNA from Schizosaccharomyces octosporus yFS286, 111 nucleotides. The record is from RefSeq and is a predicted model, not a curated record. NCBI's taxonomy places the organism in Eukaryota, Fungi, Ascomycota, Schizosaccharomycetes, Schizosaccharomycetales, Schizosaccharomycetaceae.
ACGGCCAUACCUAGGCGAAAACACCAGUUCCCGUCCGAUCACUGCAGUUAAGCGUCUGAGGGCCUCGUUAGUACUAGGCUCCUCUUUAACAUGGGUUUCACUGUCUAUUAU